Lolium perenne is the source of this 1803-nucleotide non-coding RNA. The record is from RefSeq and is a predicted model, not a curated record. Lineage: Eukaryota; Viridiplantae; Streptophyta; Magnoliopsida; Poales; Poaceae.
AGCGAUUCUCCAUACAGGUGGGCGUCCCGGUCUUAUCUUCACCGUAGAUAGCUUGUUGGAGACUCGUGCUGUUCAUUUUGCAAAUAACAACCUGGACAAGUCCAUCCUCCCACCUCUAUAGACACCGAAGUGGACAAAGCCAUCUUCCUCUGUUCUCUCUCCUCCUUAUCCUCUGCAUCCUCAUCGCCUCGAGUUCAUCUUUCCCCAACCCCAUCGGUGAUCAUCCCUAGCACCGCCAUGGCCCCUGUGCUCCGGCGACGCCGCCAACUCGACACUGCUACACGGCUCACGUCCUCCAACCGUGAUUUUUUGUCCAGAUCCAUUAUUCCUGCCUGGUUGUGGACAGAAAUCCUCUAGCAUUGCAUCUUUCUACUCUUUGAUUUGCUUCAUUGUUUCUCCAAACCAAACUGACAGAUUGCGUCUUAGAUUGGCUUUUUCAUGUUUGAACAUCUGAUUUGCCUUCCACGUUCUAUCUGACGACCUGCUCAUGAACACUAUUUCCUACCUCGUCUCAGAUCUGGCCAUGGAGGGCAAGAACCGAGUGCUCCAUGGAUUUUACUUUGCUCAAAUCUGUCGAUAGUUACAUGGAUUUUUUUCAUCGUUUUUCCAUGUGGUCUGCUGUCAAACAUGAAUGGAUUUUACUUUGCUCAAAUCUGUCAUUUUUGGGUGUUCUUGUUUGAGGAGAACGGAUUUUCUAUGGAUUUUCUCAGAACCAAAUGCUCCAUGGAUUUUAUUUUUGUUCAGAUCCUGAUGUUGAGUGAAUGUUUUGACAAAAAAUGGAAGAAUUUUUUUGCCAUGCUUCCAGAUACAUGCUACAAUCCAUUCUUUUUAAAAAAAAAUCAGUAUGACAUGUUCAUGGGCAGUAAACGUUCACCGUAACACUAAAUUAAGUGCUCAUAGUUUUCUUUAAUCUCUUAUUGGAACAUACUGUACUCCUAAAUCUGAACAAUGGAGAUUUGCUCAUACAUGUUAAAUUGGUCCAGGUCCAGUUAACGUACUGGAAUAUUUUUUAGUCCAGAUCCAAUUAAGUUAAUGUUCAUUCCUUGCUGUAAACAUUCCAAUUAAGGUAAUUUUUUACAUACAACUAAUAUGAUAGUACAAACUAAUCAAAAUAUCUCUGUAAACAUUCUAUGAAAUGUGAAGACUGUAGGGUAUGUCAUGUAAACAGGAAGGGACUUGCUGACACGAAAAAUGUAUAGUGCAAGGUGUUCUCUACAAAAUGCAAAAGGGGUUGCACGAAUCUUAAUGCAGCAUUGCACGUCCAGGAUAAGCCCGGGACACCCACAUAUAUGUAGAGUUGUAUUUUCGGUGAACCCUAUCACAAGUGUUUCUCGAGUGUCACUAUUCUUCGCUGAAUUAAGAGAGAUGUUUGGCCAAAAAUAUUAUUUCUGCUAUCCUCUGGAAUCAAACAGUGAAAAUGGUCAGUGUUCUGCUUGCAGUAGCCAAGGAAUGGAUGAUCUGCAACAUCCAGCCACAGGUGGAUAUUUCAGGGGCUCGACAGGUUCCGCAUUCCCUUACAUGUACAUGGAAAGUGAUGCUGAUAGCGAUUAGCGGGGGUUGUUGAAUCUGUAUUCAGAGUUGGGCGUGGUUGGGGCAUGCGAGUCUAGUAGUCCAGGCAGCAUAUAUAUACAAUAAUCUGCUGAUAGAUGUUUUAUUUCCACCCGUUGAACCAACCCUUUUUGUUAUGUGUCUGUGAUACUGAGAUUCUAUGUAGUACUGAUUUUCUUUAUGUAGGGUCAUGUAACUAGUUCUUUGCUACAUUCCAGCAGAAUACACAACGAAAGUGUCAAUUCUUUCUGCUAA